Molecule: non-coding RNA, 1018 nt
Organism: Triticum urartu
Lineage: Eukaryota; Viridiplantae; Streptophyta; Magnoliopsida; Poales; Poaceae
Source: RefSeq, a predicted model, not a curated record
CGUUAGCUGGUCGCCCACCCCCCAGAUGUCAAAGGGAAAAAAAACUAGCCCACUCUCCCGGUCCGUUCCUCUCUCCCUCCGGCUCCGGUGCUUCACAUCUCGUCAUUGCGGCAGAGGCAGCGGCAGCGACGGCACCGCACGGACGACCCGGCGGCGAGGACUACCUCUCUCGCGCGUGGAGUAGCUCCCUUUCCUCUCUCAUGCGGUAGCAACUGAGGCGCUAUGGGCGGUGCAAGAUCCGGGCGAGCUCGGUAGGACAACGGCGUUCUCCGGCGUCCCUCUCCAGUGUCGACGGUAUUAUCGCCAGGUUAUUGGUUUUUGGGAGCAGUGUGGGGAAAGAGGAAGAAGACCAAGAAAGGAAAGGAAAAUGAGAAGCUCGGGUGAUGGAGGUAAUUCUGGAGAAGAGCUCCUGGUGGUGGGAUCAAUUCAGGGAGGAGGUGGAUAUCAUAGCGGAGGAGAUGAAGGGCGUGUCGAUGACAUAGAAGAAGAGGAGGAGCUUAAGGCUGCGGAGAAAAAGGAACAACAGCAGAGUAUCAGACUUCGAUCUAGCUGAGGCAAACCAAUAAUUGAAAUUCUGCCAAGAAAUCUAGGAGCAGAAGAAGAUGUAUGCAAGGGACUUGGAGACAAGGCAAUGGUGCGCAGGCGGGAAAAUUAUUGUUCUAAUUGGUUAGGAUUGGAGUUCGACUGCUAUUGAGUUUAUUAUAUCAAAGUUGGUUGCAUCAGUCACUUCAGGAGAUGGUCAUGUGCGCUAGGAAAUUAGCUUGAUUUGGAGAUACUACAAUGAAGCGUAGCUAGCUGGACUAUGCAGUUACCUAAUUGGAAUUCACAACUAGUUCCUUCGGCAAUUCCAACAAAUCUGGGAUUCAGUAUAAAGCAAACAAAUUUUCUUGUUAGCAAACAUUGUUGUAUUUUGGAGUUUAUUAAGCCAUCGACAGAAAAUGAAUAACGCGAUUCAGAUUAAGGAGUGUUUACAAGUUGUGUGCUCAUACAAGUACAUGCUUUAGGUGUACGUGAAUCU